GAGAGAGAGGGAGAGAAAGAAAGGGGGAAGGAAAAACCCCCUUGGGCACGUUCCCCAGUGCCUCUCCCUUUACUGGACCAAAGCUGCAGGACUCUCUCCUUUCUGGGACAAAGCUGUGGCAUUUCCUGACAGCUUAGUAGAAACCUUAUUCUGCUCUGGCUGCUCAAAGACCCUCGGCAGCAUCUACAGGUGCACCUCAAGGAGCCUGGACUACAAGAGAGAUUUGUUCUGUUUCACUAUUGACUCCAUUGAAAGACUGUGCUGCUGAAAGGCUGAGGUGGCACCAGGAUCGGUGACAUCCCUGACUCCCUGCGCCUUCCUGAGGCUGAAGCCACGUUUGCUGCCAGUGACCACAGAGUGGAAGAUGCUACAGACUGAAAACUUGGGCAUUUUUCUCCUGAAUCCCAAGACUCUCUGCAGCUGUACACUGUCUAUCUCUUAAAAGAGUUUCUGGCUUUUUAAAGGUUUUUACAUUCUGCAAUAUUUAUCUGUAACUCCAUUAAAAAGAGUCAUACUGUAUCAAUGUGG
Long non-coding RNA from Zonotrichia leucophrys gambelii, 528 nucleotides. RefSeq lists it as uncharacterized. The record is from RefSeq and is a predicted model, not a curated record. NCBI's taxonomy places the organism in Eukaryota, Metazoa, Chordata, Aves, Passeriformes, Passerellidae. The transcript is spliced from 3 exons.